ACCGGAGGGAGAGCCCGACCUCCCAGACCCCAAGGUAGACGGGCGACGCCCCCCGCCCCCACCCAGGGGUCUUGAAACCUCCGCGCCAGGACGCGCUAGGUACCUGGAAAGGGGGAGGUGGGCGAGGCGGGGCGUGGUGCCCCACGGGCCCGCGGCCCAGACCCUGACCACCGCCUCCGCCCGCGGGCCUCGGGCGCUACCAGCCCGUGACGCGGGGCCUGCCCGGCCCUGGCCAACAGCCGCCUGGAGUCCCUACAGCCGCCGCCACCAGCCCCGACGACCCCCCCCCACCCCCAUUUCAACCCCGAAAAGGAGCAGAACCCCACCGCGCGCCCAGACGGCACCCUCCUCUUCCCCCACAGCCGUGGCCCGUCCCCGCACCCACGUCCCAGGCACCCUUUCCCCUGCCACCGAGGGCAGAGGGACGCUCCGACGGGAAGCGUGGCGCAGUCGGGCAGGAGCACGACAGAGGAAGGGCGCGAGAGAGCCGGCCGGCCGGUCGGAGGGCACUCCCCAGGCUCGGAGGGCGGGGAGAGGCGCCUGGCGACCUGGCGGAGAGCAGAGCAAAGGACAAGCGACGACCGGCCGGGAAGACUGGUCCAGGGCCGGCGGCGACCGGCAGGCGAGCGGCCCCGCCGCGCAGCCUGCGAGAUGCACCGGACGCUCCGGACUGUGCCGUCACGACCGGGGACAGUCCUGGCCACCGCCAGAGGCGAAGGUGUGUAGCCGGGGGAACCUCGGCCCCCCAGCCUCGAGCACCCAUAAAAUUGAAUCAAUCAUCAGCCAAACCAAAUGAAAACAAUAGCGGUUAUCAACAGAGCGGAUUUCCAUCAAAGUACUCAGCCAUGAUGAGAAAUGAGACUGUUGUUCUACAGAGAAAAAUCUGGAAAGAUUCUGAUGUAGCCUAUGCUAUACCUAAACGAUACAUCAAAUGGGAUAUAAGGAAUAUGGCCUUAUAAAAUUCACAAAUAGCCCUCUAAUCAAAUCCCUCUGAGAUGGUACCACACAAAUCAAAACAAUAAAUGCAUCAUUUAAU
This 1036-nucleotide long non-coding RNA is filed under the name Bos indicus x Bos taurus (hybrid cattle). RNAcentral describes it as "lncRNA (ENSBIXG00005004602.1)". Lineage: Eukaryota; Metazoa; Chordata; Mammalia; Artiodactyla; Bovidae. The record is from RNAcentral.